GUCCACGGCCACGCCACCCUGAACGUGCCGGAUCUCAUCUGAUCUCAGAAGCUAAGCAGGGUCGGACCUGGUUAGUACUUGGAAAGGAGACCACCUAGGAAGACCAAGUGCUGUAGGCG
This 119-nucleotide ribosomal RNA is filed under the name Pteropus alecto (black flying fox). The record is from RNAcentral. Lineage: Eukaryota; Metazoa; Chordata; Mammalia; Chiroptera; Pteropodidae.